This 406-nucleotide ribosomal RNA is filed under the name Salmonella enterica. Its description in RNAcentral is "partial 23S ribosomal RNA". It matches the Rfam family "Bacterial large subunit ribosomal RNA", at positions 2227 to 2632 of the family's 2925-position model. The record is from RNAcentral. Lineage: Bacteria; Pseudomonadati; Pseudomonadota; Gammaproteobacteria; Enterobacterales; Enterobacteriaceae.
GUGGACCCGUGAUCCGGGUUGCGGACAGUGUCUGGUGGGUAGUUUGACUGGGGCGGUCUCCUCCUAAAGAGUAACGGAGGAGCACGAAGGUUGGCUAAUCCUGGUCGGACAUCAGGAGGUUAGUGCAAUGGCAUAAGCCAGCUUGACUGCGAGCGUGACGGCGCGAGCAGGUGCGAAAGCAGGUCAUAGUGAUCCGGUGGUUCUGAAUGGAAGGGCCAUCGCUCAACGGAUAAAAGGUACUCCGGGGAUAACAGGCUGAUACCGCCCAAGAGUUCAUAUCGACGGCGGUGUUUGGCACCUCGAUGUCGGCUCAUCACAUCCUGGGGCUGAAGUAGGUCCCAAGGGUAUGGCUGUUCGCCAUUUAAAGUGGUACGCGAGCUGGGUUUAGAACGUCGUGAGACAGUUC